UCUUAUGAUGAUUUUACUUUGGAAUCUCGUUCGUCUGAACUCCUGUUGAGAACUUUUUAAUACUGAUGAUG
Molecule: small nucleolar RNA, 71 nt
Organism: Tachysurus fulvidraco (yellow catfish)
Lineage: Eukaryota; Metazoa; Chordata; Actinopteri; Siluriformes; Bagridae
Product: small nucleolar RNA SNORD30
Exons: 1
Source: RefSeq, a predicted model, not a curated record